This is a non-coding RNA of Nerophis lumbriciformis (worm pipefish), 1980 nucleotides long. The record is from RefSeq and is a predicted model, not a curated record. NCBI's taxonomy places the organism in Eukaryota, Metazoa, Chordata, Actinopteri, Syngnathiformes, Syngnathidae.
CUAAUUACUGUUUGACUUUGUUUGCUAAGUACGGUUUGACUUUGUUUGCUAAUUACUGUUUUCCUUUGUUUGCUGAUUAGGAUUUGACUUUGUUUUGUUGCUAAUUACUGUGACUUUUUUUUUGCUAAUUACAUUUUGGCGGUGUUAAUGACUGACUUAGUUUGCUAAUUACAUUUUGGCGGUGUUAAUGACUGACUUAGUUUGUUAGUAUUACAAUUUUAGCAGUGUUAAUGACUGACUUAGUUUGCUAAUUACAUUUUGCCAGUGUUAAUGACUGACUUAUUAAGUUUGCUAAUUACAUUAUUACAUUUUGCCAAUGUUAAUGACUGACUUAGUUUGCUAAUUACAUUUUGCCAGGGUUAAUGACUGACUUAGUUUGCUAAUUACGUUUUGGUUGUGUUAAUGACUGACUUUGUUUGCUAAUUAAAUUUUGGCUGUAUUACUACGAAUAAAUACACAAUGACCAUUUGGAACUCUUCCUACCAAACAUGUUGUCCUUUUUUGGGCUAAUUAGUCGUAAUAGAAACUUUUUAUCAUAUUUGACAAGUACUGCCAUGUUUUUGCAAUAAAUGUUUUUUUUCCUGGAAAAAUACACAAUUAUACUGUAUUCACUUUUUUUGUGAUGCAUUUCUUUUAUGUAUGAAAAGUACUUUAUAAAUUAUUUCCACGAUUCACGAGUUCACAAUCUACAAGAAUUAACUACACACAUGAAUACAUGCAUGUUGGGUUUUUCAUUUAGAUAUACAUUCUAAUUACCAGCUGACUGUUUGGAUUACAAGUGUAACACAACAGUUUUACUAAUAUUAUUAUCACAAGAUUAAACUGCAACGCAUCAUUUGAAGUUACACAAUCUGCAUGUAAUUCUCAUUUCCAACAGCAGGAUGCGCACGCAUCACACACACACACACAGGAUGUCGUUGUGUCCAUUCAGAAACAAAGCAGCCGUUUUUCUGGGGCCAAUUAAUGUGCAAAAAGUUUUGGAAACUUCACUUUGGUUCAAGUUCUUAGCCUUUAAGGGUUCCUACCUCAAUGAAAGACUGCAUUAUUGAACGUCACGUCUGUUGGUCGUGUGCUUUUGUCGAGCGAAACUCUGAUGGUGAGCCAGAAUUGGGAUCAGCACAAUAGAAGUCAUGCUCACACACACGUGGAGGGUGUGACGUCAGCGACCGCUUCAUCUGGAAAGAAAUACAACCAUCCCUUCAAACAGAUACAACAGAAUUAAUCCAGUUUCGUAAAUUCACCAAAACGUCGCCGUGGACUUAUUGAGUCUGUUUAGCUGAUUGGAGAGCUACCUUCCGCAACUAGUGGGUCCAUGACGAUGACUUCUGUUUUGUUUGAUCAGCUGUGUUACUGACACUGUUUGGAAACAAUUAAGGUUUUCCUUGCGGACCCAGCAGUCUGUGGGGAACUCCUCCAGCAUGGGCACAAAGUACUGGAUGCAACCGUUCCAGUGGCACAGCAGGAAGAUCAUCAUGAAGAGCGAGAGCACGCGGAAGAACAGACGCACCACCUCCAGAAGCGGACCAGCCUGGACACCCGGGCCAGUCGGAUCAGGCUGAGGAUGCGCACAAACAUGAGGAUCCUCAUCAUCCUGGUGGUCUUGGAAGGGUUGUCGUCAUUGUGGUAGUGUAAGCCCUAUCACACACACACACACACACACACACACACACACACACACACACACACACAGUCAUCUUAUUACACUUUGUCAUCUUAUUUUUAGGCCCACAACAAAAAAAUAGCACUUCUGCAAUCUAAUAAUGUCCUUUAUUACCGCAAACAGCAGUAUGUAGCCGAUAGGGAAGGCGGCAAUAACGUCGGGAAUGAACCAUGUCCUCAGGUAGCUCACUCGGAUCUGCUUGAUGUCCAGAAUAGCUUCCUGAGACACACAGGAGAGCGGCAGCAUGACUCAGCACAUUUAUUUUUACAUUUUCAUAAGCUUGCAUACAAUAAAGCAGAGAUGUCCAAACAUUCCCCACA